Long non-coding RNA from Gopherus evgoodei (Goodes thornscrub tortoise), 507 nucleotides. RefSeq lists it as uncharacterized. Lineage: Eukaryota; Metazoa; Chordata; Testudines; Testudinidae. The record is from RefSeq and is a predicted model, not a curated record. The transcript has 4 exons.
CCCGUGAGAGAGAAGCGCGAACAAGUUGAGGAGGGGCCUGUCCUCUGCAGCCAGGGAAGGGCCGCACUACCAGCUCCCGCCGCUCUUCCACGCACUUUGCAAUAUCUCUGUAGGAUGAAGGUAAAUCCAAUGGCUUAGGUCUCUGUAUCCUCAGUGGACUGAAGAAAUGAGAUAAGAUCAUAAACCACACAGAAAAUCCUGAAGGUACUGGAGCAGAGUGGGAUAGAAUAGAACAAGAUCUUCCAGACCCCAGAAGAAAUCUCUAGUAAUUAAAAUACUUUAUGAAGUACAGAAAAUAGGGCAGGACUUCUCUUGAAAAGGCCAGCUAGUCCCAGAGGGAAAAUACAAAGUCCAUGAGAUGCUUUGUGUGAAGUCUGAUAGAAGUUUCCAGAAUCAGCAUGUUUACACUACAGUAGUUCCUGGGAUGUAAAUCAAGAUAGAGGCCCCAUUGUGGUAGAUACUCCACAGACUCAUAUCAUCUGAACACAUGGACUCUGCUCCAAAUAG